RNAcentral lists this unclassified non-coding RNA (253 nucleotides) under uncultured Micrococcaceae bacterium. Its description in RNAcentral is "contains 16S-23S intergenic spacer region". It matches the Rfam family "Bacterial small subunit ribosomal RNA", at positions 524 to 776 of the family's 1533-position model. Lineage: Bacteria; Bacillati; Actinomycetota; Actinomycetes; Micrococcales; Micrococcaceae. The record is from RNAcentral.
UACGAAGGGUGCAAGCGUUGUCCGGAAUUAUUGGGCGUAAAGAGCUUGUAGGCGGUUUGUCGCGUCUGCUGUGAAAGCCCGGGGCUUAACCCCGGGUUUGCAGUGGGUACGGGCAGACUAGAGUGCAGUAGGGGAGACUGGAAUUCCUGGUGUAGCGGUGAAAUGCGCAGAUAUCAGGAGGAAUACCAAUGGCGAAGGCAGGUCUCUGGGCUGUAACUGACGCUGAGAAGCGAAAGCAUGGGGAGCGAACAGG